This 253-nucleotide ribosomal RNA is filed under the name uncultured bacterium. RNAcentral's name for it is "partial 16S ribosomal RNA". It matches the Rfam family "Bacterial small subunit ribosomal RNA", at positions 524 to 776 of the family's 1533-position model. The record is from RNAcentral.
UACGUAGGGUGCGAGCGUUGUCCGGAAUUAUUGGGCGUAAAGGGCUCGUAGGCGGUCUGUCGCGUCGAAAGUGAAAACCCAGGGCUUAACCCUGGGCCUGCUUCCGAUACGGGCAGACUAGAGGUAUGCAGGGGAGAACGGAAUUCCUGGUGUAGCGGUGAAAUGCGCAGAUAUCAGGAGGAACACCGGUGGCGAAGGCGGUUCUCUGGGCAUUACCUGACGCUGAGACGCGAAAGCGUGGGGAGCGAACAGG